This 71-nucleotide transfer RNA is filed under the name Polynucleobacter sp. Its description in RNAcentral is "tRNA-Gln". It matches the Rfam family "tRNA". Rfam says of the family: Transfer RNA (tRNA) molecules are approximately 80 nucleotides in length. Their secondary structure includes four short double-helical elements and three loops (D, anti-codon, and T loops). The record is from RNAcentral. RNAcentral also lists the same sequence under 1 other name. Lineage: Bacteria; Pseudomonadati; Pseudomonadota; Betaproteobacteria; Burkholderiales; Burkholderiaceae.
UGGGGUAUCGUCUAAUGGUAGGACAACGGUUUCUGGCACCGUUAAUUGAGGUUCGAGUCCUUGUACCCCAG